RNAcentral lists this transfer RNA (69 nucleotides) under Conocara murrayi (Murray's smooth-head). RNAcentral describes it as "tRNA-Phe". It matches the Rfam family "tRNA". Rfam says of the family: Transfer RNA (tRNA) molecules are approximately 80 nucleotides in length. Their secondary structure includes four short double-helical elements and three loops (D, anti-codon, and T loops). The record is from RNAcentral. Lineage: Eukaryota; Metazoa; Chordata; Actinopteri; Alepocephaliformes; Alepocephalidae.
GCCAGCGUAGCUUAAGCAAAGCAUGACACUGAAGAUGUUAAAAUGAACCCCUCAAAAGUUCCGCAAGCA